CCAACUUUUGAAAAUGGAAUGGUAGCUGCUUCCUUUAAGACAGGGUUGGUUGGUUCUGCAUCUGGAGUGAAUCCAGUUUCCCUGUUGGUAGUGGGGAAAAUGAGGUCACACCCCCUACCCCUCCCUUCUUCUCCAAGUCUCCCCGCUCUUGAACCUGGAUCUCCAGCCCCCCAAAAGGUUCUCCCAUCCUGACUGCACUUUGAAGGUUGCAGAAGAGAUUGCAAGAUGAAAGCUUUGCUAUUUGCCUUGUUGUUGGUGGCAUUCAUGUGCAAGGACCCAGUUGCGGGUCUGCAGUGUCUUCGAUGUUAUGGUGCUUGCAAAGAGGAAAUAUGUUUGGAAGACCAACCCGUCUGUUAUACUCUGGACAACGGAGUGGGACAGGCUGUUCGCAGAGGAUGUGCCCCCACAUGCUCUCAAGGGGACAAUGGGCUGGAGGCUAAAUGUUGCACAACUAACUUUUGCAAUGAAUAAAAUUAUUCUUCUGAUUUUAAAAUGAGCUUUGUUGAGUUUUGCUGUCAUCCAUCAUGGACCAUCCUUUGCAGAUUUAGGUUUGUGGCCUUUACGGUCCAUAAUUCAACCCCUCAGCUUCUCUGGACACUUCGCCCUCUCUCCCUUUUCUCCUGGCCUACAUGCUUUGUUCU
Long non-coding RNA from Crotalus tigris (Tiger rattlesnake), 641 nucleotides. RefSeq lists it as uncharacterized. NCBI's taxonomy places the organism in Eukaryota, Metazoa, Chordata, Lepidosauria, Squamata, Viperidae. The transcript has 3 exons. The record is from RefSeq and is a predicted model, not a curated record.